Molecule: non-coding RNA, 25 nt
Filed under: Drosophila erecta
Lineage: Eukaryota; Metazoa; Arthropoda; Insecta; Diptera; Drosophilidae
Also listed under: 1 other name
Source: RNAcentral
UGUUUCAGAGCGUUGGCCAGUUUCC